Molecule: non-coding RNA, 125 nt
Organism: Lonchura striata (white-rumped munia)
Lineage: Eukaryota; Metazoa; Chordata; Aves; Passeriformes; Estrildidae
Source: RefSeq, a predicted model, not a curated record
UUGGAAGCAGAUAAAUAAGCAUGAAAGUAGAUCUGUUGGUGAAAGCUCUUGAGAGGUAAAAAGACAGAGAGAAAAUGAGACUCUGCAGAAAAGUCAAUUUUCAUGACCAAGGUCACCUCAGGCCU